Molecule: ribosomal RNA, 592 nt
Filed under: uncultured bacterium
Lineage: Bacteria
Description: bacterial SSU rRNA
Rfam family: Bacterial small subunit ribosomal RNA
Source: RNAcentral
CCUACGGGAGGCAGCAGUGGGGAAUUUUGGACAAUGGACGCAAGUCUGAUCCAGCCAUUCCGCGUGCAGGACGAAGGCCUUCGGGUUGUAAACUGCUUUUGUACGGAACGAAAAGGUCUCUAUUAAUACUAGGGGCUCAUGACGGUACCGUAAGAAUAAGCACCGGCUAACUACGUGCCAGCAGCCGCGGUAAUACGUAGGGUGCAAGCGUUAAUCGGAAUUACUGGGCGUAAAGCGUGCGCAGGCGGUUAUAUAAGACAGAUGUGAAAUCCCCGGGCUCAACCUGGGAACUGCAUUUGUGACUGUAUAGCUGGAGUGCGGCAGAGGGGGAUGGAAUUCCGCGUGUAGCAGUGAAAUGCGUAGAUAUGCGGAGGAACACCGAUGGCGAAGGCAAUCCCCUGGGCCUGCACUGACGCUCAUGCACGAAGGCGUGGGGAGCAAACAGGAUUAGAUACCCUGGUAGUCCACGCCCUAAACGAUGUCAACUGGUUGUUGGGUCUUCACUGACUCAGUAACGAAGCUAAACGCGUGAAGUUGACCGCCGUGGGGAGUACGGCCGCGAAGGUUGAAACGUUAAAUUGAAUUGACCGGG